Molecule: unclassified non-coding RNA, 534 nt
Filed under: Aspergillus duricaulis
Lineage: Eukaryota; Fungi; Ascomycota; Eurotiomycetes; Eurotiales; Aspergillaceae
Description: sequence contains 18S rRNA gene, ITS1, 5.8S rRNA gene, ITS2, 28S rRNA gene
Rfam family: 5.8S ribosomal RNA (bases 195-348)
Source: RNAcentral
GAUCAUUACCGAGUGAGGGCCCUCUGGGUCCAACCUCCCACCCGUGUCUAUUGUACCUUGUUGCUUCGGCGGGCCCGCCGUUUCGACGGCCGCCGGGGAGGCCUCGCGCCCCCGGGCCCGCGCCCGCCGAAGACCCCAACAUGAACGCUGUUCUGAAAGUAUGCAGUCUGAGUUUGAUUAUCAUAAUCAGUUAAAACUUUCAACAACGGAUCUCUUGGUUCCGGCAUCGAUGAAGAACGCAGCGAAAUGCGAUAAUUAAUGUGAAUUGCAGAAUUCAGUGAAUCAUCGAGUCUUUGAACGCACAUUGCGCCCCCUGGUAUUCCGGGGGGCAUGCCUGUCCGAGCGUCAUUGCUGCCCUCAAGCACGGCUUGUGUGUUGGGCCCCCGUCCCCGGUCACCCCCGGGGACGGGCCCGAAAGGCAGCGGCGGCACCGCGUCCGGUCCUCGAGCGUAUGGGGCUUUGUCACCCGCUCUGUAGGCCUGGCCGGCGCCAGCCGACACCCCAACUUUAUUUCUAAGGUUGACCUCGGAUCAG